GACGAACGCUGGCGGCGUGCUUAACACAUGCAAGUCGAACGGAAAGGCCCUGCUUUUGUGGGGUGCUCGAGUGGCGAACGGGUGAGUAACACGUGAGUAACCUGCCCUUGACUUUGGGAUAACUUCAGGAAACUGGGGCUAAUACCGGAUAGGAGCUCCUGCUGCAUGGUGGGGGUUGGAAAGUUUCGGCGGUUGGGGAUGGACUCGCGGCUUAUCAGCUUGUUGGUGGGGUAGUGGCUUACCCAGGCUUUGACGGGUAGCCGGCCUGAGAGGGUGACCGGCCACAUUGGGACUGAGAUACGGCCCAGACUCCUACGGGAGGCAGCAGUGGGGAAUAUUGCACAAUGGGCGGAAGCCUGAUGCAGCAACGCCGCGUGCGGGAUGACGGCCUUCGGGUUGUAAACCGCUUUCGCCUGUGACGAAGCGUGAGUGACGGUAAUGGGUAAAGAAGCACCGGCUAACUACGUG
This 468-nucleotide ribosomal RNA is filed under the name uncultured bacterium. RNAcentral's name for it is "partial 16S ribosomal RNA". It matches the Rfam family "Bacterial small subunit ribosomal RNA", at positions 28 to 507 of the family's 1533-position model. The record is from RNAcentral.